RNAcentral lists this transfer RNA (76 nucleotides) under Candidatus Omnitrophota bacterium. Its description in RNAcentral is "tRNA-Ala". It matches the Rfam family "tRNA". From Rfam's summary of the family: Transfer RNA (tRNA) molecules are approximately 80 nucleotides in length. The record is from RNAcentral. Lineage: Bacteria; Pseudomonadati; Candidatus Omnitrophota.
GGGGCUGUAGCUCAGUUGGGAGAGCACCUCGUUCGCAACGAGGGGGUCGGGAGUUCGAUUCUCCCCAGCUCCACCA